AUACUUACCUGGCAGGGAAGAUACCAUAAUCAUGGAGAUGGUUUUACUAGUAUAAGGCUCAUUUCUCGCACUGUGGGUGUGCUGACCCCUGCGGUUUCCCCAAAUACGGGGAAACUCAACUGCAUAAUUUCUGGUAGUGGGGGACUGCGUCUGUGCUCUACCCUG
Molecule: small nuclear RNA, 165 nt
Filed under: Gopherus agassizii (Agassiz's desert tortoise)
Lineage: Eukaryota; Metazoa; Chordata; Testudines; Testudinidae
Description: U1 spliceosomal RNA (ENSGAGG00000003607.1)
Rfam family: U1 spliceosomal RNA
About the family: U1 is a small nuclear RNA (snRNA) component of the spliceosome (involved in pre-mRNA splicing).
Source: Rfam by way of RNAcentral